Molecule: small RNA, 187 nt
Filed under: Arabidopsis thaliana (thale cress)
Lineage: Eukaryota; Viridiplantae; Streptophyta; Magnoliopsida; Brassicales; Brassicaceae
Description: ATSL165740
Source: RNAcentral
AAUAAGUAAAGAGAUAAAGAGUAGAGAAACAAGAUGAUAGAUGAAAUCAAAUGCGGAAUCUGAAUAACUUGGAAAAAUCUUGAAUUACAGGUUGCAGAAGCGGCGCAGCUAGAGUAAAAUAGAAAAUAAAACUGAAGCAAAAACUCAAUGUCGACUAGAUGUCUCAGGACAGAACCCUAAGACAUUU